UGAGAGCUCUCUGAGAGGGCUGUGUGUCUUGGGAAUGAGAGAGUUAUGAGUUUUUCAGUGCCUUCUCUAGCUUUCUGGAAGUUGUUAUGAGUGGACCUGACUACCUAGAGAGAGUAAUACAGAAGCUCCCUGCUGAUCACAGCUACCUCAUUACCAUGUUCCUCCAAGAUGGCCGCCCCUGAGGAGAAUCAUCAACUGGGCUUUACGGAAGAGAGAAAUCCAAACGACCAUCAGCAACAAAUGAAAGACUGAAGUUGAAAGGAAAUCCAUAAUUUUUGAAUGCUGGCUGAGGUCUGUGACCUCUGACUGAAUGGUUUCCAAGCUCCGAAUUCCUAGUUGCUGAAGAAGGGAAAGGCUCUCUGAUUUACGUGUAAGCAAAACAAUCUAAACAGUAGGAUAAAAUCAUGUUGGAAUGGAGUUCUGUGUGGAUGCUCCUUUGAACCAAAUCAGUUCCACAACUGACCCUGUCAGGGACAUAUAAAUUUAGCAUUUUGGUGUGGAUACAGAAGACGAGAUUAACACAGAUCAAGUAACAUGGAAAUAAAAAAGGAGACAAUGCUGGAUGAUACAGGGGCAGCAACAAGAGGAGAAAACCCAAGCAUUGGCAAAUGCCUCAUUAUCCAAAGAACACUGAGGUGUGCAGCAAAACUGUGUUGAAUGAACUGUAGAUGGAAAUUCUCUCCUUCCCACCGAGGAGCCGCUGCAGGUUGCAGACUCCCAGAAUGCCACACUGAGAAGAGGAGGGCUAAAAUUCUAGAGCAGAAUCCCUGGGGCAGCCCCUGCUGAAGAAGGGUGCAUCUGUUGAGAAUCUCAUCACCGCCCCCACCCCGCCCAGCCUUCAAUUUAGAGGAAUUUCUAGUUCACGCAGAAUGAAGACAAGAUCACAUAAGGGCCUCAGAGUAUGUCAGCUGGGGUCAGACGGGAACAGGAGUCUGGCUCAACACACAUUUAUUGCACUCCUGCUUCAUGCCAAGAAAUGCACCAAAAUCUGGGACUGUGUAACACAGCAAAGGAAAAGACUCAUCUCCAGGAAGCCCCCUUGUCUAGGAAGAGAAAUUGAAUAUCAGCAUAAGGUGGUGAAAAGCUAUGAAGGAGAUGAGUGCCACGAGUCCAUGGAGGAAGGAUUCUAGCCUGGACAGGUUUGUCUAUCCUAUAUUCUCCUGCCCUUCCAGAUGAACUAA
Molecule: long non-coding RNA, 1181 nt
Filed under: Pan troglodytes (chimpanzee)
Lineage: Eukaryota; Metazoa; Chordata; Mammalia; Primates; Hominidae
Description: long non-coding RNA NONPTRT011706
Source: RNAcentral